RNAcentral lists this ribosomal RNA (463 nucleotides) under Streptococcus anginosus. Its description in RNAcentral is "bacterial SSU rRNA". It matches the Rfam family "Bacterial small subunit ribosomal RNA", at positions 28 to 467 of the family's 1533-position model. The record is from RNAcentral. Lineage: Bacteria; Bacillati; Bacillota; Bacilli; Lactobacillales; Streptococcaceae.
GACGAACGCUGGCGGCGUGCCUAAUACAUGCAAGUAGGACGCACAGUCUAUACCGUAGCUUGCUACACCAUAGACUGUGAGUUGCGAACGGGUGAGUAACGCGUAGGUAACCUGCCUAUUAGAGGGGGAUAACUAUUGGAAACGAUAGCUAAUACCGCAUAACAGUAUGUAACACAUGUUAGAUGCUUGAAAGAUGCAAUUGCAUCGCUAGUAGAUGGACCUGCGUUGUAUUAGCUAGUAGGUAGGGUAAUGGCCUACCUAGGCGACGAUACAUAGCCGACCUGAGAGGGUGAUCGGCCACACUGGGACUGAGACACGGCCCAGACUACUACGGGAGGCAGCAGUAGGGAAUCUUCGGCAAUGGGGGGAACCCUGACCGAGCAACGCCGCGUGAGUGAAGAAGGUUUUCGGAUCGUAAAGCUCUGUUGUUAAGGAAGAACGAGUGUGAGAAUGGAAAGUUCAU